UACGUAGGUGGCAAGCGUUGUCCGGAUUUACUGGGCGUAAAGGAUGCGUAGGCGGAUGUUUAAGUGAGAUGUGAAAUACCCGAGCUCAACUUGGGUGCUGCAUUUCAAACUGGAUAUCUAGAGUGCAGGAGAGGAAAGCGGAAUUCCUAGUGUAGCGGUGAAAUGCGUAGAGAUUAGGAAGAGCACCAGUGGCGAAGGCGGCUUUCUGGACUGUAACUGACGCUGAGGCAUGAAAGCCAGGGGAGCAAACGGG
RNAcentral lists this ribosomal RNA (253 nucleotides) under uncultured bacterium. RNAcentral's name for it is "partial 16S ribosomal RNA". It matches the Rfam family "Bacterial small subunit ribosomal RNA", at positions 524 to 776 of the family's 1533-position model. The record is from RNAcentral.